UUCGGGAUACUUUGUCCCAGGGUGUGGUU
RNAcentral lists this non-coding RNA (29 nucleotides) under Homo sapiens (human). Lineage: Eukaryota; Metazoa; Chordata; Mammalia; Primates; Hominidae. The record is from RNAcentral.